This 293-nucleotide long non-coding RNA is filed under the name Trifolium pratense (red clover). RNAcentral's name for it is "long non-coding RNA (TPRA_LNC003691)". Lineage: Eukaryota; Viridiplantae; Streptophyta; Magnoliopsida; Fabales; Fabaceae. The record is from RNAcentral.
GAGAUUAUAACCUCUAUGAACCUCAUUCCGUAUGUGAAACAGUGACUUCAUCACUCACAUUGAUCUUUCGUCCAAAGUUGUUCAACGCGGUGUGGUGCAUUUUGGCCUUGCACCUAUUCCUGGAUUUCGUGAGUGGCUCUAGAAAGUCUGUCCAAGCUUUCAUGGAAGCGGCCUCACCUCAACACUCAUAUAGGUGAAUCUAUCAAGUGUACACCACAGUCAAGCACACCACUCAUUCAUGAGCUAUAGAUUCAUUAAGAGAAAAACUCAACCUCCAUCGCUGUAGUAUACAC